RNAcentral lists this long non-coding RNA (9622 nucleotides) under Solanum tuberosum (potato). RNAcentral's name for it is "long non-coding RNA (STUB_LNC002469)". Lineage: Eukaryota; Viridiplantae; Streptophyta; Magnoliopsida; Solanales; Solanaceae. The record is from RNAcentral.
GGGAAAAAAAUGAUGAAAGGAAAACACUAAUGAAUCUCUACUAUAAUCUGUCACUAAUAUAAUUGCUUCUUCACAAGGAAUUGUUCAAUCGAGAAGUAACAUGGAAAAAUGCAUCCUCAUUGCAAGGUAUUGUGAGACCGCCCAUUGAAUGUUGAAAUCCAAAUUCUUCCUCAGCUUUCUGAAGCAAUUCCUGGAACGAACUGUGAUUCAGGUAUGCAAUUGGAACUACGUAUCGUUUCUUCUCUGUUUCUCCGACGUAAACUGCUAAAUGUCCUUUUGGUACAUCUGAUAUUUGAUUCCGAGUAACAACAGAGUGUAGUUUGUGAAAUUGCUUCAAACUGGGAAUAAUUGACGGUAAACGAAUAAUACCCAUCACUAGAUCUUUGAUUUUGAAGAUAAGUUUUGGUAUUUGAUGGAUUGGAACUUGUUGAGAGGAAUAAUUUUAUGCACUGAAGGUGUUUGAUGAUUUGACUGACUUGUUCUAGUCUAUAUUUAUAGUGGCUGCUUGCAAAUUGCAAUAUGUUGCGUGCCACGGCAGGUCAAUUGGUUCCAUGUGAGAGAGGCCCUACUUCACAUGCUUCGUAUUCUUACUUGAUAUAAGUAGGUAGUGCGGUAUGGGUUGUAAUAGUUCCAAUGCGUGUUGCAUCGUAAAUAGGUGUUCUUAUAAUGGAAAAAUAUACGUAUAAGAUUUUAAUGUACGGAGCGCGUGCAAGGUUCUGGAAGUUGCGCAAAGACUAGAGUAAAGAGCUAAGACUGUAGUACACACUAACUAAUAGAGGUGCCAAAAUGAGCGGACUUUUGUCAAAUGAGUUAGAUCAAUUAAUGAGUUAAAUAAAGGUUAUAAUUCAACAUGAACUAACCUUUUGUAUAGUGAUAGCAAAUGUAAUUUUUAUAAAAAUACUAGUUUUAAUUUCGUAUAUUUGGAUUGCACCUUGACUGAUCACGUUGUACUAUUUUGAGUCUUUUGACACCUUAAUUUGAUAAGUUAUUUCGAAUAUUCUGUUGAGAUAAAUAGGUCAUUACUCAACGCGUUUAAACUUAGAUAGAUUGAGCGGAUUAUAUUUUGACACCUCUUAAGUUUUGGCCAAACUAAUUAGUUAGGACUUUGAACUAAUUAGUUGCCAAUUUUAGGGAGAACAAUGGUCCUUUUGGAACAUGAAUACAAUUACUUGAAGAGUUUGUUCUACUCUACCAUCCACUCGUUUUUAUCUAUUCCUGAAUUUUGGUGAUGACGGAUGGCCAUAAGAAGGUUAUAUCUAUACCACUAUUCUCCCAUUGUUUCCACUUUAGACAUGUAUAUGUUUAUCCAUAUAUAUAUUAUUGUUUGUGCCAAAAAUAAAAAUAGUAUCACAACAUGGGCACUUUGGCCAUGCUGCCUUCUUGUGAUCUUGUGGUUGGUGAUUGGUGAAUUAAGUUAAGAGUCCUUAGAAGUACGUGUCUAAACAUAAUAUUUGGUGCAAAUUCCAACCUCUAAAUUCAUUGGCUUACAAGCUUUUUUUACAUGGAAGUAACUGCCCACAUUCAUGUGAUUUGGUAAUGCUUAAGCCAUUAUUUCCACUUGUGCUAAUUAUUAUCGGUGUUGAAUUCUCUAAUUAGUUUUCCAACUAGUGGCAAAUGGCAACUUGAAUGAAAAUAGUAGUAUUUCUAUGAGCAGUAACUUUACUCCGUUAUUUAAAUGAUAAAAUGUAUAAGUACUUAAAUUUUUACUCCGUAGGAUACGUGAAAAUAUAUAUUUUGAGUGUGAGACUCGAACUCAAAAUUUCUAUAUGCUUUUAUAUCAUAUUGAAUGGUCUAAUAACUUAUAAGUAUAUAUUAGGUUCUGAACAAGAAAGGAAAUAUCUUGACCACUACUUCAAUAUAGAAGUGCUUUGACAUCUUCUAUACUAAAUUUGUGACCCAAAUCUAGACAAUUGAACAAGCUCACUAUACUGAACUUUUGAACUUUAAUCUUUUGUGCAAAACUAAUUUCUGUCCACAAUUUAUGCUUGAUGGUCAACAAAAACAUUUGCCUAGUGAAUUUUCCGAAACAAGGAUAUAUUUUCUUUUAAAAAUUAAGUGGGGUCAAAAAAAUCAAGGCCACCUCUUUUAGGGUGAUUUGUGAACUAAACCCCAAAUUGGUUAGUAUAUUUAUUGUUCUUUAUGCUAAGUGUUUCUUCAUUUUUUGUUUUUUUUUUGGUUUCACAAACGGUGUUUGAAGCCCGUAUUGGAGUUUUGUGUAAAUCUGGAUCGUGCACUGUAGCUUCAACAUGAUUUUCUCCAUAUCCAGGCUGAAAAUCUCAUCACUACAUCACAAUCCAUGUUGGUACCAAGUAUUCCUUCUUGAUAAUGAAACAGAAUGGUUGCUAACUAGUUUAAGUUGACCUCACAGGCUGUUCUAAGAUUUCAAUUUAUUGAGGUUUAAGGUUUGAGGACAAUGAAGAAUGUUAAAAAAAUUGAUUGUAUAUUUUGCUUUCCAAUCCUCUGAACAAUAUUAACCAGAGGAAACUUUGAAGAUAUAAAAUUUACAGCUCUUGCGUGACAAGAGGAAAAAAAUAAUCAAAAUAAAAGAAAGAACACUUGUUCAUAUCAUAAACAAGUGUUCAAUCGAGAAGUGACAUGAAAAAAUGCAUCCUCAUUGCAAGGUAUUGUGAGACCCCCCAUUGAAUGUUGAAACCCAAAUUCUUCCUCUGCUUUCUGAAGCAAUUCCUGGAACGAAAUUUGAUUCAAGUAUGCAAUUGGAACCACGUAUCGCUUCUUGUUGUCUGUUUCUCCUACGUAAACCGCAAAAUGUCCUUUUGGUACAUUAUUUGAAAUUUGAUUCCUCAUAAGAACAGAGUGUAGUUUGUGGAAUUGCUUCACACUUGAAAUAAUGGAUGGCAAACGAAUAAUACCCAUAACUAGAUAGUGUUAUGACUGAAAACUGCUACUUGUUGUGAAGAAUAAUCCACUUUAAGGUGUUAGAUAAUUUGACUGACUUGUUCUGAAGUUUGUAAAUUUAAGGUUAAUAUUUAUAGUGAUCUGCUUGCAGGUCAGUUGUCCUUGUGGACUAUAUAAUUGAUGGCAUGUGAAAAAGGGCCUACUUCACAUGGUGAGUACAUUCCCAAUUCCCAAUUGAUCAGCAAUAUAGUAUUCUUUCCAAGUAUAGCAUAGUGAUGAGGGUGUCCAUAAAGUGGUAAUGUAUUUACCACUAUUCUCCCAUUGUUUCCACUUUGGACAAUACAAUAUACAUUAUCUCCCCCCCACCAAAUUGCAACUCCCAUGCUGCCUUAUUGUUGUUGAGGUUCUCCACGAAAGUGCAAGUCCUUACAAGUACAAGUAGUUUCUGAAGUCACUACGUAUAUAUUUCUAUAUUCCAUAGUUAUGAAGUCAUUAUUUAUCUCUGCUUUAUAUCAUUUCAAAAUGUGUGAUCUAUCUUUCAACAAAUUUGAAUUGAUAAACAACAUAUUUUUUAAACUCAAAAUGAGUACUAUCACGUUGAGCUUCAUACUCCCUGGUCAGUGGUGUAAGCAAUUUUUUUUUAAGCAGUGUCAUCAUUUAAAGGACAUCGAGGAGAAUCAAUAAAACUUUUGCUUUAAGCCUCCAAAAAUUUGAGGCCUCAUAAAUAUGGAUAAUAUUUUUGAAUAGGUAAUCUCUCCGUUGAUUUUGUGAAAGAGAAGACCUACAUAAAUCUUAUUAAUGUGACUUACAACAAAAGGAAAUGAAAAGGACGAAAAGAUAAUUUCUAAAUGUGAACAAAAACAAAUUUUCGUAUUAUUAAGUUUGAACAAACCACCAAAUGAUUUAAUUUAUUAAGUAACGAUUAAACAAUUAAUAAAAUAAAUUGCUUAAAUUGACCAAUAUCCACUACCUGUCUGUAUAUUCUUUUUGUACAUAAUAUAAUUCUCCGCGUAAAUUGGAUUUUAAAUUUAUAAACACACAUUAAUUAUAUUCGGCAUCGAGUUACUACGAAGAAGUUGCCAAAAGGAAAAGAAAUUAUUAGGCACAUUUAUGAUAAGCCAUUAUUGUGUGUGUCUGCAGAUUGACGAUGGCUCAUAAAUUUGUUAGACUUUUUCCGCGUUUUAAAAGAUGCUUAGAUGGAUUUUGUGGGAAAUAAAAUGAGGAAUGCGAAAAUAAAAUAGUUUAGACAUGUGAACGAAAGGUGCAUUGAUGCACCAAUUAAGAGGUUUAUAUGAGAGGUUAAAAAAACAGGGCCAGAGGGAGUAUUAACUUAUACUCUUCCGUCAACUUUUAAUUGUCAUAGUUUCCUUUUUUAGAGUCAAACGAUAAUAAUCCUGACUAAUAUUUUAUGAUGUAAUCUUUCAUCAAAUUAUAGUACUUUUCGUAUAGUUUUUGAAUAUUUAAAUUUUUUGUUUAAAAUAUCGAAUAAAUUUAAUUUAAUUUAACUUUAAAAAUUAAUUAAACUGACUUUCGAAAAGAUAACAUGACAAUUAAAAAUGAAAUGAGGGAGUACUUAAUGAUACUUUCUCUGUUUUAUGAUAAGAGGUUUUUAGCUUGAACACAUUUCUUAAGAAAAUUACUUAUUUUAAAAAAAAUGAAAAGUCCUCCUUUCAUUUUAUAUUACUUGUCCACAUUACUAAGAUAUGUAUCCCAAAUUACUUGUUAAUUUACAAAACAAAGAUAUAGUUUUUUUUUUCAUUUUACCUUUAAAAUUAAUUCUUUGAAAGUAUAAUUAAAUAUUGUAAAUUUCCAAGAAGGCUCAUCUACCAUUAAUAUUUGUAGUGGUGUAUAAGGCACAACCUAGAGUGCAGUGCUAAAAAAGUUUAAAGGGUAAAUUAAUAAAAAUAUUCUUCUUAGUUGUGAUUUCUCGGGAUGAAUGGACUAUUUUUACUAACUCAUCCUUAAUCAAAUAACUACAUUAAAAAAAAGCAACUCCUCGAAGAUUUCUUAAUUAUGUAAAAUUCCAUUUAUUUAAAUAAGAGUAAAUCGAAAGAAAAAAAUUAAUGUCUCUAUAAUUAUAUGAAACACAACUUAUUUAAAACACAAUAAAAAAAAUUAAAGUUCACUUAUUUUGAAAUAGGAUGGGGAAAGUAUUAUUUACUACUCAUAAUUAAAAUUUCAAAAAUCAAACUUUUAAAUUUUAAUGGUGAACUCAAAUGUGAGAAGCAUAAAGUGUGUGUUUUUUUUUAUUUUAUAUAUUUGAAAUAUAUAUAUAUAAAAUUUCUAGAAAUCACAAUAAUUAACAUUUUAUAAAGAAAUUCACCUCAAAAGAAAAUUUGAUGCCCUCGAAAAUUCAACUGUACCAUGUAAAUUGAGUUGUUAUUAAUAAAACAAGUGCAAUAUUUUUCGAAGACAGUGAAAAAUUGUAAAAGAAUUUGAUUGUAUUCUAAUUCAGUGAACAUAAAUUUACAAGCAAGAGGAAAAAAUGAAUGAAAGAGAAAAUCAGUAAUAUAUUAAGGCUGCUUCUUCUUCAUAAGGAAUUGUUCAAUCGAGAAGUGACAUGAAAAAAUGCGUCUUCAUUGCAGGGUAUCGUGAGACCACCCAUUGAAUGUUGAAAUCCAAAUUCUUCCUCUGAUUUCUGAAGCAAUUCCUGGAAUGAAGUGUGAUUCAGGUAUGCAAUUGGAACUACGUAUCUCUUCUUCUCUGUUUCUCCUACGUAAACUGCAAAGUGUCCUUUUGGUACAUCUGAUAUUUGGUUCCUAGUUAAAACAGAGUGCAGUUUGUGGAAUUGCUUCACACCGGAAAUAAUUGAUGGUAAACGAAUAAUACCCAUCACUAGAUCUUGUUAUUAGUGGUAGAUAUGAAUUCAGAAGAAUAAUGCAGUUAAGGUGUUUGAUGAUUUGACUGACUGGGAAUGGCGAUAUUUAUAGUAGCUGCUGGAAAAUUAUAUAUGUUGCGUUCCACCGCAGCUCAGCUGUCCUUGUGUACAAUUGGGGUCCAACUUCACAUUAUCAACAAAUAAAAUACUCCUACCCAAUUCCCAGCAAAUAAUUAAUCAGCCCAUUAUUGUAUUCCUUCCAAAAUCUGAUAAAUUGUGAAUUUAAGUUCCUACUCCACAAGACUUUGACCUGACACUUAGUUCUCAUGUUCAAAACUCAAUAAAGAAAAGAUUAGGUAAUUAUUCUUCUGUUCUAACAUAGUUACUUGGUACAUGUUGCUGGUGGAAAAUGACAUAUAUCCCGUGAAAUUAAUUAAGGUGUGCGAAAGCUGGCCCGAACACCACCGUCAUAAAAAAAAAAAAAAAAAAAUUGUUUGGCUCAAAAAGAUAAAAGUAGUGAGAGCUAAUUAAUCAAAUUGAAUCUGCCAUAUAUCCACUUGAUUAUCUCGUCCUGAAUUUUGGUGGGCAUAAGCUGGUCUAUCAAAUUGCAACUCCCAUACUGCCUUGAAGUACCUCACAAGUUAGAACUAUAUAUUAGUAUCUUCUACUUCUGCUAAAAGUUGUGAAGUCAUUACUCAUUAAUGAUCUAAAGAUAACUUUUGGUACAAAUUCCUACGUACGUACCAUGCCUCCUAUUUUCUGCGGAAAUAACUGCAUGCCCACAUAUAUAUGUCUUGGUUUAGAAUUUUCAUAAAUAUGCAUGACAAUUGGCAGCACAACAAAUUGUGUAUUUUUGGUGUUGAAUAUUCAACUUAAUUAUAUAUAUGUUCCCAACUAGUGACUACUGCCUACUUGCAUGAAAAUAGCAUUAUUUUAAUGAGUAGUCAUUUACUAAAGAACUUUAUUUCUACCGUAAGAGAUAUGAAAAUAAUGUCAUUUUUUUCUAUUAAAAUUGUAAGAGUCCAAGAGAUUUCAUUUCCUCCUAUUCCUCUCUUGAUUAUAUGAAAUUAAAGUAGAAAAUUGAGAAUGUUUUGAUUAAGAAAGAGAAGGAUUUUAUCUUAAUUAACUACUACUAAUAAUUAUAUCGCUGAUACAUAUUCAGAUGAUAAAAGAUCAAAUGAUUGGAACUAUAUUUUCGAUAAAGAUCAGAUUCAGUAGGUUUGCUUAAUCUAGUUAAUAUUGUUACGAGUUCAAUUUUCCUGUCACUGCUGACGCUGUUCAAUAAUUAGAUUUCCUUAUUAUUAAUUCUGCUAAAAAAGAAGAAGGAAUAAUUAAAGAAAAUUCUUUUGACAUCUAUUAUUCCAAGUCUGUGAUCCAGAUCCAGAUAAUUAAAAAAUUGAAAUUCCAUGUAAACAUAAUCAAUGAGCUUGACUUACUAAACUCAUAAUAAAUUAAAGGUCUAACCUAUCGGUGACCCCCUAAAGUUGGCAGCAAUUUUCACUUACACACUUUAACUGCAUGCCCACCUAUAUGUGUCUUGCUCUUGAUUUUUCAAUAAUUAUGUUCAGCACAACAAAUUUUUGCUUUUGCUUUUUCCUGUUGAAUUUUCAACUUAAUUACAUAUAUAUGUUCCCAAACUAGUGGCUAGCUACUUGCAUGAAAAUAAACGAGUGCUAGUUUUACCAACUCUGCCAUUUAAUUUGAUGAUCAGCAUGCAUUUGAAACUUGUGAAUUGUAUGAUAAUCUUCUUAUUUAAAAAGUUUAAGUUGUUACGAAGAUCAUAUGUUUGUUUACCUUAUAACAGUUCCUUCUUGUGUGGGUCAGAUUCUUUUUUUUUAUUGAGCCAACCACAUUUUUUUAUAAUGAUGUAACGUCACUCAUGCCUUAAGACAUCUGUCUGAAGUGUGAAAUAAUCUUAUUCGAAAGAUUGAGCUAUUAGAGAUAUUUAAUUCAUUUAAUCAUAUUUAGGUUCCACAUUAUAGUCACUGCUAUACUACAAGCUUUCGUACUCUCUAGAAAGAAUCAUACAUUUAUUACUAAACUACUUUCGUAGAACUAGGACAGGAAGUUCUUUUGUUGUUGCUUGAAUCUUAGCUAUUUAAAUAAAAUGAGAUAUUACAACUAUAACAUUAAUCUAAAUUUCAAAACAUUAUAACGGUGACUUACAACUAAUGAAAAUGAAAAGAGAAAAAAAGACGAAAAUAGCACUCCCAAGUGUGAACAAAAGUAUUUCGGUACUAUAAGUUUGAUCUAACAACCCAAUGAUUUAAUUAAGGAACGACUAACAAAUAUCCAUUAUAAAUUGCUUAUAUUGACCAAAAUUAUACUACCUGUACGCAUAAUUUAAUGCUCCGCGUAUAUAUCAUUUUGAAAUUUAUGGAGCGCAUUAAUUAUUCUGUAUUGAGCUACAAGCCUACAACUACGAAGUUGCCGGAUCAAGGAAAUGAAAAAGAAUUUAUUAGUAUUUGACUCUACACCAAUCACCGCUAACGCUGUUCAAUAAUUAGAUUUCCUUAUUAGUAAUUCUGAAAGAAGAAAAGAAGGAUUCAAAGAAAUUUCUUGACAACAGUUAUUAAGCAUAAUCUAUAUCAAUAAUUAUACUUGGAAUAAAUUAAAAGAAUUUCUAUGUGGGUUGUACAAAAGAAUUAGCCAACAUAACCAUCGAUUAUUACUUGUAGCAACAUCCUUCUGUAGUUGUGUUGCUAUUGUUUCAACCAGAUGUAAAAUUAGAAGUAGAAUUGAUUAAAAUAUCAACGUGAUAAUUAUUAUAGGUGGUUGUUUGAAUCCCAAAUUUCAUUGUGCUGCACUAAAAUUGUAACGUUAUCCAUCACUAGAAUUCACAUAGAAGGUUGCUUGGGGAAGAAGAGGAAGACAACUUUGGGAAAAGAGGCAAAAUCCGUGUGAGAAUAGUUUUGCACUGAAUUAUAAAAAGAAUAAUGGUGUAUCAGCUAUUCAGUUUGUAAAUAGUUUCAAUUUUUGGGGUAUAAGUGUUCUUUUCCCCUUUUAAAAAGUAAAUUAAAUCCAACACCUAAUUUCACUAGAAAGAAAAAAUAGAUUUCUUGACAAGUACUUUUUAAGUAUUUUAAUUCCGUACACAUAAUAAAUAGAACUACACUAUCCACUACGAAUACACUAUUACUUCCACUUUUCUUUUUAAUCUUGUCGGUCCAAACAGAAAAUUACAUCUUUCCAUAAUUAAAAAUGAUUUCUAUAGAAAUAUCUAAAGUUUGUGUGUAGUUUUUUUAAGCUAGAGAUAAAUUAAGUAUAUAUGACAGUAAAAUAUGUCUAGUUAGAUAGUUUUUUAAAUUUUAAAAGUCGUUCUCUUUUUUCUUAAAAUUUGUAUCAAUCAAAUACAAUAAAUUCCACAAAAUUGAAUCUGUAUCAAUUAAUUAGUGUUUCGAAUUGAGAUAGAAAGAAUAACUGAUUGUUAAAUUCUACUGAUUUAAAAAAAUUUAGCAGCAUUAUUCUUAAACUGUUUAGUAUGAGCAACUAAAAUAUUUUACGAAGACAAUGAAAAAUUGUAAAAAAUAAAAAUGAUUGUAUUCUUUGCAAUUCUGUCAACAUUAUGAGUCAGUGAAAAGGCAAUUCACAUAAAUUUACCGCUCUUGCAUUGCAAGAUGAAAAAUAAAUAAUGAAAGAAAAACAGUAAGCUCUAAUAUAAUCUGUGACUAAUAUAAUUGCUUCUUCAUAAGGAAUUGUUCAAUCGAGAAGUGACAUGGAAAAAUGCAUCCUCAUUGCAGGGUAUUGUGAGACCGCCCAUUGAAUGUUGAAACCCAAAUUCUUCCUCUGAUUUCUGAAGCAAUUCCUGGAACGAAGUGUGAUUCAGGUAUGCAAUUGGAACUACGUAUCGUUUCUUCUCUGUUUCUCCAACGUAAACUGCUAAAUGUCCUUUUGGUACAUCUGAUAUUUGAUUCCGAGUUAAAACAGAGUGUAGUUUGUGAAAUUGCU